Molecule: small nuclear RNA, 183 nt
Organism: Dermacentor silvarum
Lineage: Eukaryota; Metazoa; Arthropoda; Arachnida; Ixodida; Ixodidae
Product: U2 spliceosomal RNA
Exons: 1
Source: RefSeq, a predicted model, not a curated record
AUGACCGACGCGGUUCAAAGUGUAGUAUCUGUUCUUAUCAGCUUGAUAUUUGAUACAAGUUGUAUUUGUACCCAAGAUAUUAAACUUAAUUUUGGAAGUUGGUGGAGUGCCUGAAGCCUGCUUCAUCUCCGCCGUGGGUCGGCCCGGUAUUGCACUAUGCUCGGGAUUUUUGUUCUAUGGGCA